AAUAAGCGGAGGAAAAGAAACCAACCGGGAUUGCCUCAGUAACGGCGAGUGAAGCGGCAAGAGCUCAAAUUUGAAAUCUAGCCCCCUCUCCUCACAGGGGCUCGAGUUGUAAUUUGGAGAGGAUGCUUCGGGCGUUGUCCCGGUCUAAGUACCCUGGAACGGGUCGUCAGAGAGGGUGAGAAUCCCGUCUGGGGCCGGUGAUGAUGUUCCUCUGCGAAGCUCCUUCGACGAGUCGAGUUGUUUGGGAAUGCAGCUCUAAGCGGGUGGUAAAUUCCAUCUAAGGCUAAAUACAGGCUGGAGACCGAUAGCGCACAAGUAGAGUGAUCGAAAGAUGAAAAGCACUUUGAAAAGAGAGUCAAAGAGUACGUGAAAUUGUUGAAAGGGAAGCGCUUGUGACCAGACUCGCCCGGGGAGACUCAGCCGGCACGUGUGCCGGGGCACUUCUGCCCGGGCGGGCCAGCGUCGGUUUGGAUGGUCUGUUAAAGACCCCUGGAAGGUAGCGUCUCUUCGGGGACGUCUUAUAGCCAAGGGUGCCCUAAGACCGGUCUGGACCGAGGACCGCGCUUCGGCUUGGAUGCUGGCGUAAUGGUCGCAAGCGGCCCGUCUUGAAACACGGACCAAGGAGUCUAACAUCUACGCGAGUGUUCGGGUGUCAACCCCGUCCGCGCAGUGAAAGCGAAUGGAGAUGGGAAGCCCCCCGGGGGGAUCCUUCCUCCCCCCGGGAGGGGUGCACCAUCGACCGAUCCUGAUGUCUUCGGAUGGAUUUGAGUAGGAGCGUAGCUGUUGGGACCCGAAAGAUGGUGAACUAUGCCUGGAUAGGGUGAAGCCAGAGGAAACUCUGGUGGAGGCUCGCAGCGGUUCUGACGUGCAAAUCGAUCGUCGAAUCUGGGUAUAGGGGCGAAAG
This 904-nucleotide ribosomal RNA is filed under the name Elaphomyces lilacinus. Its description in RNAcentral is "Elaphomyces sp. PA-2019a partial large subunit ribosomal RNA". It matches the Rfam family "Eukaryotic large subunit ribosomal RNA", at positions 45 to 929 of the family's 3401-position model. Lineage: Eukaryota; Fungi; Ascomycota; Eurotiomycetes; Eurotiales; Elaphomycetaceae. The record is from RNAcentral.